RNAcentral lists this ribosomal RNA (200 nucleotides) under uncultured bacterium. RNAcentral's name for it is "partial 16S ribosomal RNA". It matches the Rfam family "Bacterial small subunit ribosomal RNA", at positions 1301 to 1500 of the family's 1533-position model. The record is from RNAcentral.
UAGGCUGCAACUCGCCUACAUGAAGUUGGAAUCGCUAGUAAUCGCGAAUCAGAAUGUCGCGGUGAAUACGUUCCCGGGUCUUGUACACACCGCCCGUCACACCACGAGAGUUUACAACACCCGAAGUCAGUGGCCUAACCGCAAGGAGGGAGCUGCCUAAGGUGGGGUAGAUGAUUGGGGUGAAGUCGUAACAAGGUACC